UAAUAUUGUGUGUGUAGGGUCUUAGUUGGUGCAGUAUAAAUUUCCUAAAUUUUCCCUCUUCUUCCCGCCCCGUGGAUUCAAUUUUGUUUUCCCUCCUCCUUUCUCUCCAUUAUUUCCCUUCAUGAAAAGGAGAAAGGAAUAGAAGAAAAUGGUUGGAGUGAACAAUUUUGCGAAGACAAUUUGUUCAAUAUGUUAUGAAGAUCAAAACCCUAUUAUCGAAGAUCUCCAAUCCGUUACUAUUUGCGGUCACGUUUUUCACGAACUAUGUCUUCAGCAAUGGUUUGAAUACUGCGCAAAAAAUGUGAAAAAGAAGAAUUGUCCAGUCUGCAAACAGGCUUGUUCAGAAGAAAAUGCAACUAGGCUUUAUUUCCAAUCUAUUGGCGAUCCAAAUGAUACAAGUCUCACCCAGAAACCUCGUGAUUAUGAAGAGGAUCAUCGGGAAUUGAGAAAUGAGGUCAAAAGGUUGGAAGGGAAAGUUUUACGACUGACUUCCACUUUGGAAAAACAGCUGAAAGAUCUCAAAGAAGUCAAUGCAGAGCUGUUCACAUGCAAGGAGGAGUUGAAAAUGGAAGUGACUCUAAAGGAUGAAGCUGUGAAACAGGAGGCAGCCAUGCAGCAGUUGCUACAUCUUAAAUCCAAGGAGCUAGAUCGAUCAACUUUGGAGUGCAUAAGGCUACAAGAUAGAAAUAUGGCUCUAGCUAAGGAGCUUGCAACACUCAAGUUAGUCUGCGAUUUUAGCUUGGAGGAAGAAGAGGUCUUGAAACUUGCUUCAUUAGGAAAUGAUGUCAAUAGCAAAGACACAAUUGAUGUCCUGAAAAAAUCAUUGGUCAUCCGUAACAAAAGUUACAAAGAACUAAUGACCAAGUGCAACAGGCAAGAGGCUCGUUCUCUCAGGAAACUUCAGAAAGCUAAAGAGAAGAAAAAUAAGUUGAAGGUUAGGGUCCAAGAACUUGAGAUGGCACUUGAAGGAAAAGAUAAUGAAAUUUUGAGAAUGUCGAAAGCCUCCAAGAAAAACUACCAGGGAAGUAAAGAACCAAAAGUUGACAGAGAUUCAUAUGAGAAUCAGAAUAAGGCACCUGCUGAGACAGAAGAAGAUUUAUGCAUGGUAACUGGAUCAUGUGAUGAUUUAUCUAGACCAAGGAGAAAAAGAAAGUAUAAGUCUAAGGAUAGGAGUAUACUAAACACGGCAGAAGAUAUUAUAGCUAGCAGUCUUCACAAAAAUAAUCACAACAAAGACUCUUCCAUGAGAAACAAAGAUGGAGGCACUUCAGAGACUUCCACUUAUCUGCAUGAAGUAGCAAACCAAAACUUGCAUCAAUCAAUUGGCCCUAAGAAGGCUGUCCAUGAUGGAAGUCUAGUGCACGGAUCAGGAAAUAAAGAUGGAACGUCAGGCUCAAGGAAUUGUAGUAAGAAAAGUACAGAAAACAUGCCCCCUGUGAUUAUUCUUGAUGAUGAUGAUACUGACCUUCCACCUCUAGAUGACAUUACACAGCACCAGCCCUCAUUUCACACCAGGAAAGAGACUUCUUCACCCGUUGUACUUGCCCAACCAGGAGACAGCUGCUUUUCUGGUGGAUUGUUAGGUCCUGAUGGGACUUACUGGCACUUGGGAAAAUGGUGUAAGAGAAGGUAAAGGACAAGGGAUCUGGAUCACUGUCUUGAGGACUGCAAGGAUCAGGUGCGAGUGCCGGUGAUUUGAUUGCUCAUGACAAUAGUGAGAGUUUGCCAUCAUUCAAUAGAUAAAAGUACGACACCAAAUCAAGUAGUUCCCAGUCUCAAAGAUGCUUGCGAAUAUAUAGCUUCGUCAGAAGGGCCAGUUUACCUCCUGUAAAAUAUCCAUCAAAGAUGUUGGGAAUCCAUUCCUUGUACAGUGUUUAGGCGUUUCAUUUUAGCAAUCUAGUUAUACUGUCAUUUGAUUGAUUAGUUUUUGCUCGAUCAAUACAUAUUGAAAGUCGCAUUCUUUGUGGUUUCGAAGAUAGUGAAACAGUUUUCCAUGCAAGCAUGCACUUCAGUUUUAUAGUUGCUUACUACGGGAAGGUGCUACGUGGUGUGUGGUCUAUUUGUGUUAGUGCUCCAUGGUUUUGCAUUGACAAUUGGGGUGUUGGGGGGGGGGGGGGUUGUUGUGCAGACCAUUUCGUAUUUAGCCGACUUUAUAGUGCUAAAUUUGCCUCAAUUUAUUCAUAAGAUAAGUGUUGCAUCUCCUACCUAAUGCAAUUGAUCGACCCAAUGCUUCACUUACUGUAGCAUGUCAUAGUUCUCUUACUUUUGCCCGACCAACUGUGCUCUUCUGAUGGAUGGUCCAGAUUUGCACUUUUUGCACACUAACAUGGAGACAUGGUAGGGACGAUCCCUGGACUCUUUGGUCAUUAUUGUGUAAGGAGUAAUGAUAUUUACAUAAAAUAGUGGUUGAAUGUACAUGAACAUAAACUAGAAAACUUAACAGAACUCUCUUGAUGUGCAUUUCUCAUUCCAUUGGUUGCUUGCUACCAACUAUAUACUUGAAGGGAUGAUUCUUGCUCAUCGGAUGAACCUGCUCAGUCGCGUCCUGUGCUUCUUCCUUGCUACCUUUCAACCUCCUCCUGCUGCUUCUUAUGUUUUAUGAAAGAUCUUGUGUUUUUUUUUUUCCUAUGUUUUUCUCUAGUGUCAUAGUCUUUUACCUGUAUGGAGAAAGUAAUUAUACACCCUUCCUAUUCUUUUGGUAUUCAGUUGUUCGUUUGCUGUACUGUAGAAAAACUUUGUUUUUUUGUUCAUUUGGUUAUGUAGUCUAGUUUCUGCUGGUUUCCCAAUCUGAGCGGUCCUUUGCAAAUCUCUGUGGGAGAAACAUGUUCAAUUGAUGAGAUUAUUUGGAACAUAAGUUUUGCCAGCUUGUAUGUAUUCAUCAGGGCUUUGACACAUGUUCAAUUGAUUAUUCUCAUUUUAUUUUUAUUUUGUUUCUUCAAAAGAAUUAUAUUAUUAUCCAAUGGAAGUUCAUUGGCGUAAA
Molecule: RNA transcript, 2980 nt
Organism: Lycium ferocissimum
Lineage: Eukaryota; Viridiplantae; Streptophyta; Magnoliopsida; Solanales; Solanaceae
Exons: 9
Source: RefSeq, a predicted model, not a curated record